This 664-nucleotide ribosomal RNA is filed under the name uncultured Lachnospiraceae bacterium. RNAcentral's name for it is "bacterial SSU rRNA". It matches the Rfam family "Bacterial small subunit ribosomal RNA", at positions 59 to 721 of the family's 1533-position model. The record is from RNAcentral. Lineage: Bacteria; Bacillati; Bacillota; Clostridia; Lachnospirales; Lachnospiraceae.
AAGUCGAACGAAGCACUUUAUUUGAUUUCCUUCGGGACUGAUUAUUUUGUGACUGAGUGGCGGACGGGUGAGUAACGCGUGGGUAACCUGCCUUGUACAGGGGGAUAACAGUUGGAAACGGCUGCUAAUACCGCAUAAGCGCACGGCAUCGCAUGAUGCAGUGUGAAAAACUCCGGUGGUAUAAGAUGGACCCGCGUUGGAUUAGCUAGUUGGUGAGGUAACGGCCCACCAAGGCGACGAUCCAUAGCCGACCUGAGAGGGUGACCGGCCACAUUGGGACUGAGACACGGCCCAAACUCCUACGGGAGGCAGCAGUGGGGAAUAUUGCACAAUGGGCGAAAGCCUGAUGCAGCGACGCCGCGUGAGCGAAGAAGUAUUUCGGUAUGUAAAGCUCUAUCAGCAGGGAAGAUAAUGACGGUACCUGACUAAGAAGCACCGGCUAAAUACGUGCCAGCAGCCGCGGUAAUACGUAUGGUGCAAGCGUUAUCCGGAUUUACUGGGUGUAAAGGGAGCGCAGGCGGUGCGGCAAGUCUGAUGUGAAAGCCCGGGGCUCAACCCCGGUACUGCAUUGGAAACUGUCGUACUAGAGUGUCGGAGGGGUAAGCGGAAUUCCUAGUGUAGCGGUGAAAUGCGUAGAUAUUAGGAGGAACACCAGUGGCGAAGG